This 315-nucleotide ribosomal RNA is filed under the name uncultured eukaryote. Its description in RNAcentral is "partial 18S ribosomal RNA". It matches the Rfam family "Eukaryotic small subunit ribosomal RNA", at positions 1470 to 1796 of the family's 1831-position model. The record is from RNAcentral.
CCCUUAGAUGUUCUGGGCUGCACGCGCGCUACACUGACGCACGCAACAGGUGCCUGCUCCGAGAGGACUGGGUAAUCAUUUGAGUGUGCGUCGUGAUGGGGAUAGAAUAUUGUAAUUAUUACUCUUCAACGAGGAAUUCCUAGUAAGCGCCAGUCAGCAGCUUGCGCUGAUUACGUCCCUGCCCUUUGUACACACCGCCCGUCGCUCCUACCGAUGGGUGAUCCGGUGAAUGAUUCGGACUUCAGCGGCUCCCCUGGGGUGCGCCGGAGAAAGUUUUGUGAACCUUAUCACUGGGAGGAAGGAGAAGUCGUAACA